RNAcentral lists this ribosomal RNA (492 nucleotides) under uncultured bacterium. RNAcentral describes it as "partial 16S ribosomal RNA". It matches the Rfam family "Bacterial small subunit ribosomal RNA", at positions 30 to 507 of the family's 1533-position model. The record is from RNAcentral.
AUUGAACGCUGGCGGCAUGCUUUACACAUGCAAGUCGAACGGUAACAGGCCUUCGGGUGCUGACGAGUGGCGAACGGGUGCGUAAUGCAUCGGAACGUACCCAGGGGUGGGGGAUAACGCAGCGAAAGCUGUGCUAAUACUACAUGUGAUCUGAGGAUGAAAGCGGGGGACCGAGCAGCAAUGUUUGGCAUCGCGCCUUUGGAGCGGCCGAUGUCGGAUUAGCUAGUUGGUGGGGUAAAGGCCUACCAAGGCGACGAUCCGUAGCUGGUCUGAGAGGACGACCAGCCAUACUGGGACUUAGCCACGCCCCAGACUCCUACUGUAGGCAGCAGUGGGGAAUUUUGGACAAUGCUCGCAAGCUUGAUCCAGCAAUGCCGCGUGCGGGAAGAAGGCCUUCGGGUUGUAAACCGCUUUUGGCAGGAACGAAACGGUGUCCGCUAAUACCGGGCGCUAAUGACGGUACCUGCAGAAUAAGCACCGGCUAACUACGUG